UGGGGGAUAUUGCACAAUGGGCGAAAGCCUGAUGCAGCGACGCCGCGUGGGGGAUGAAGGCUUUCGGGUUGUAAACCUCUUUCGCUAUCGAACAAGGCCCGCUUAGGGUGGGUUGAGGGUAGGUGGAGAAGAAGCGCCGGCUAACUACGUGCCAGCAGCCGCGGUAAUACGUAGGGCGCGAGCGUUGUCCGGAAUUAUUGGGCGUAAAGGGCUUGUAGGCGGCUUGUUGCGCCUGCUGUGAAAACGCGGGGCUUAACUUCGCGCGUGCAGUGGGUACGGGCAGGCUUGAGUGUGGUAGGGGUGACUGGAAUUCCAGGUGUAGCGGUGGAAUGCGCAGAUAUCUGGAGGAACACCGAAGGCGAAGGCAGGUCACUGGGCCAUUACUGACGCUGAGGAGCGAAAGCAUGGGUAGCGAACAGG
RNAcentral lists this ribosomal RNA (420 nucleotides) under bacterium. RNAcentral's name for it is "partial 16S ribosomal RNA". It matches the Rfam family "Bacterial small subunit ribosomal RNA", at positions 355 to 776 of the family's 1533-position model. The record is from RNAcentral.